RNAcentral lists this ribosomal RNA (1404 nucleotides) under uncultured bacterium. RNAcentral's name for it is "16S ribosomal RNA". It matches the Rfam family "Bacterial small subunit ribosomal RNA". The record is from RNAcentral.
AGAGUUUGAUCCUGGCUCAGGAUGAACGCUAGCGACAGGCUUAACACAUGCAAGUCGAGGGGCAGCGGGGGCGAAGCUUGCUUCGCCUGCCGGCGACCGGCGCACGGGUGAGUAACACGUAUGCGACCUGCCCCCCGCAGGGGGAUAACCGGGAGAAAUCCCGACUAAUACCGCGUAACGCCGCGGGGCUGCAUGGCCCCGCGGCCAAAGGAAGCGAUUCCGGCGGGGGAUGGGCAUGCGGCGCAUUAGCUAGUCGGCGGGGUAACGGCCCACCGAGGCGACGAUGCGUAGGGGUUCUGAGAGGAAGGUCCCCCACACUGGUACUGAGACACGGACCAGACUCCUACGGGAGGCAGCAGUGAGGAAUAUUGGUCAAUGGGCGGGAGCCUGAACCAGCCAAGUCGCGUGAGGGAAGACGGUCCUACGGAUUGUAAACCUCUUUUGCCGGGGAGCAACGGGGUCCUUGCGAGGGCCCGAUGAGAGUACCCGGAGAAAAAGCAUCGGCUAACUCCGUGCCAGCAGCCGCGGUAAUACGGAGGAUGCGAGCGUUAUCCGGAUUUAUUGGGUUUAAAGGGUGCGUAGGCGGGCUGUUAAGUCAGCGGUCAAAUGUCGGGGCUCAACCCCGGCCUGCCGUUGAAACUGGCGGCCUCGAGUGGGCGAGAAGUAUGCGGAAUGCGUGGUGUAGCGGUGAAAUGCAUAGAUAUCACGCAGAACUCCGAUUGCGAAGGCAGCAUACCGGCGCCCGACUGACGCUGAGGCACGAAAGCGUGGGUAUCGAACAGGAUUAGAUACCCUGGUAGUCCACGCAGUAAACGAUGAAUGCUAGCUGUCCGGUUCUACGGGACUGGGUGGCACAGCGAAAGCGUUAAGCAUUCCACCUGGGGAGUACGCCGGCAACGGUGAAACUCAAAGGAAUUGACGGGGGCCCGCACAAGCGGAGGAACAUGUGGUUUAAUUCGAUGAUACGCGAGGAACCUUACCCGGGCUCAAACGCCAAAGGACAGCCGCUGAAAGGCGGCCUCCCUCCGGGGUCUUUGGCGAGGUGCUGCAUGGUUGUCGUCAGCUCGUGCCGUGAGGUGUCGGCUUAAGUGCCAUAACGAGCGCAACCCCCAUCGACAGUUGCUAACGGGUGGAGCCGAGGACUCUGUCGAGACUGCCGGCGCAAGCUGCGAGGAAGGCGGGGAUGACGUCAAAUCAGCACGGCCCUUACGUCCGGGGCGACACACGUGUUACAAUGGCCGGUACAGCGGGAUGCCAGGGCGCGAGUCCGAGCGGAACCCGAAAACCGGUCUCAGUUCGGAUUGGAGUCUGCAACCCGACUCCAUGAAGCUGGAUUCGCUAGUAAUCGCGCAUCAGCCACGGCGCGGUGAAUACGUUCCCGGGCCUUGUACACACCGCCCGUCA